UACGUAGGGUGCGAGCGUUAAUCGGAAUUACUGGGCGUAAAGCGUGCGCAGGCGGUUUUGUAAGCCCGGGGUGAAAUCCCCGGGCUCAACCUGGGAAUGGCAUUUGGGACUGCAAGGCUGGAGUGCGGCAGAGGAGACUGGAAUUCCUGGUGUAGCAGUGAAAUGCGUAGAUAUCAGGAGGAAUACCGAUGGCGAAGGCAGGUCUCUGGGCUGACACUGACGCUCAUGCACGAAAGCGUGGGGAGCAAACAGG
This 253-nucleotide ribosomal RNA is filed under the name uncultured bacterium. RNAcentral describes it as "partial 16S ribosomal RNA". It matches the Rfam family "Bacterial small subunit ribosomal RNA", at positions 524 to 776 of the family's 1533-position model. The record is from RNAcentral.